Rhizopus microsporus is the source of this 289-nucleotide non-coding RNA. The record is from Rfam. Lineage: Eukaryota; Fungi; Mucoromycota; Mucoromycetes; Mucorales; Rhizopodaceae.
CAUAACAUAUUUGUGGACAAAUAUAAUGAACGUGUGAAUCAAUAGCACCUGCCGUAAAUAUCUUUCCUUCCCCUGCCAGAGCUUCUGUACCUGCUCCGACAACCAUUCCAGGAGUGACACCAUCCAUGACAUCGGGGUUACCUGCCUUACCGAUACCGACAAUAAUACCCUUCUUAAUACCAAUGUCCGCCUUAUAGAUACCGGUAUAAUCAAUGAUCAAUGCAUUUGUAAUCACCAAGUCAAGUACUUCAUGAUCUAAUUUCCCGGUUGCUUGACCCAUACCUUCGCG